GCGGGGUACUGAGUUGGUACUGGAUAGUAGGUGGGGUACUGGAGAGUAGGUGGGGUACUGAGUUGGUACUGGAUAGUAGGUGGGGUACUGAGUUGGUACUGGAUAGUAGGUGGGGUACUGAGUUGGUACUGGAUAGUAGGCGGGGUACUGAGUUGGUACUGGAUAGUAGGUGGGGUACUGGAGAGUAGGUGGGGUACUGAGUUGGUACUGGAUAGUAGGUGGGGUACUGAGUUGGUACUGGAUAGUAGGUGGGGUACUGAGUUGGUACUGGAUAGUAGGCGGGGUACUGAGUUGGUACUGGAUAGUAGGUGGGGUACUGGAGAGUAGGUGGGGUACUUAGUUGGUACUGGAUAGUAGGUGGGGUACUGAGUUGGUACUGGGUAGUAGGUGGGGUACUGAGUUGGUACUGGAUAGUAGGUGGGGUACUGGGUAGUAGGUGGGGUACUGAGUUGGUACUGGGUAGUAGGUGGGGUCCUGAGUUGGUACUGGAUAGUAGGUGGGGUACUGAGUUGGUACUGGACAGUAGGUGGGGUACUGGAUAGUAG
Long non-coding RNA from Oncorhynchus tshawytscha (Chinook salmon), 545 nucleotides. The record is from Ensembl. Lineage: Eukaryota; Metazoa; Chordata; Actinopteri; Salmoniformes; Salmonidae.